Molecule: ribosomal RNA, 253 nt
Filed under: uncultured bacterium
Lineage: Bacteria
Description: partial 16S ribosomal RNA
Rfam family: Bacterial small subunit ribosomal RNA
Source: RNAcentral
UACGGAGGGGGCUAGCGUUGUUCGGAAUUACUGGGCGUAAAGCGCACGUAGGCGGAUUUGUAAGUCAGGGGUGAAAUCCCGGGGCUCAACCUCGGAACUGCCUUUGAUACUGCAAAUCUCGAGUCCGGAAGAGGUGAGUGGAAUUCCUAGUGUAGAGGUGAAAUUCGUAGAUAUUAGGAAGAACACCAGUGGCGAAGGCGGCUCACUGGUCCGGUACUGACGCUGAGGUGCGAAAGCGUAGGGAGCAAACAGG